RNAcentral lists this ribosomal RNA (508 nucleotides) under uncultured Glomeromycotina. RNAcentral describes it as "SSU rRNA". It matches the Rfam family "Eukaryotic small subunit ribosomal RNA", at positions 569 to 1078 of the family's 1831-position model. Lineage: Eukaryota; Fungi; Glomeromycota. The record is from RNAcentral.
AGCAGCCGCGGUAAUUCCAGCUCCAAUAGCGUAUAUUAAAGUUGUUGCAGUUAAAAAGCUCGUAGUUGAAUUUCGGGAUCAAUAUGUCGGUCGUGCCAUUGGUACGUACUGGUAUCAUUGAUUUCUCCUUUCUGACGAACCAUGAUGUCAUUAAUUUGGUGUUAUGGGGAGUUAGGACUGUUACUUUGAAAAAAUUAGAGUGUUUAAAGCAGGCAUUAGCUUGAAUACAUUAGCAUGGAAUAAUGAAAUAGGACGUUUGACCCUAUUUUGUUGGUUUCUAGGAUCGACGUAAUGAUUAAUAGGGAUAGUUGGGGGCAUUAGUAUUCAAUUGUCAGAGGUGAAAUUCUUGGAUUUAUUGAAGACUAACUACUGCGAAAGCAUUUGCCAAGGAUGUUUUCAUUAAUCAAGAACGAAAGUUAGGGGAUCGAAGACGAUCAGAUACCGUCGUAGUCUUAACCAUAAACUAUGCCGACUAGGGAUCGGAUGAUGUUAAUUUUUUAAUGACUCA